GAUGAAGAACGCAGCGAAAUGCGAUAAGUAGUGUGAAUUGCAGAAUUCAGUGAAUCAUCGAAUCUUUGAACGCACAUUGCGCCCCUUGGUAUCCCGAGGGGCAUGCCUGUUCGAGCGUCAUUACAACCCUCAGGCCCCCGGGCCUGGCGUUGGGGAUCGGCGGAAGCCCCCUGCGGGCACAACGCCGUCCCCCAAAUACAGUGGCGGUCCCGCCGCAGCUUCCAUUGCGUAGUAGCUAACACCUCGCAACUGGAGAGCGGCGCGGCCACGCCGUAAAACACCCAACUUCUGAAUGUUGACCUCGAAUCAGGUAGGAAUACCCGCUGAACUUAAGCAUAUCAAUAAGCGGAGGA
This 353-nucleotide unclassified non-coding RNA is filed under the name soil metagenome. Its description in RNAcentral is "partial contains 5.8S ribosomal RNA, internal transcribed spacer 2, and large subunit ribosomal RNA". The stretch from base 1 to 120 matches the Rfam family "5.8S ribosomal RNA", at positions 35 to 154 of the family's 154-position model. The record is from RNAcentral.